This 118-nucleotide ribosomal RNA is filed under the name Pteropus alecto (black flying fox). Lineage: Eukaryota; Metazoa; Chordata; Mammalia; Chiroptera; Pteropodidae. The record is from RNAcentral.
AUCUACGGCCAUGCUACCAGCCUGAACAAGCCCGAUCCCGUUUGAUCUCGGAAGCUAAGCAGGGUCGGGCCCGAUACUUGAAUGGGAAACCACCUAGGAAGACCAGGUUCUGUAGGCG